CUUCUCGUCUGUCGCCAUGUGAGAUGUACCUUUCACUUUCCUCCAUGAUUGUGAGGCCUCCUUAGCCACAUGGAACUGCCCUGGCAAUCACUAUUCCAGUCUCUGCUUCUAUGAGUUUGACUAUUUCAGAUUCCACAUGUAGGAAAUGCUGGAGUCCUUCAUCCGAAUGGUAAAUGGCACUUGUGACAAAAAUCAAAGUAACUAAAAAAGAAUCUGGUUGAAACCUCAGUAACAGUUGGCCUGUCUACUGCCUCACACUAACAAGUGACCCCCACCUUUACAAGUGUCUGUAAUUCUCACUAGCAGUAUAUUAGAGGGCAAAAGAUUUGAACAGACACAUCAGAAAAGAAGACAUACAAAUGGCCGCUAAGCACUUGAAAGGAUUCUGAACACCAUUAGUCAUCAGUGAAAUGCAAAUUAAAGCCAUAAUGAAUGGCGCUAUACAUUUUCAGAAUGGCAAGGAUUGAAGACCGAAAAAAAUCAAGCGUUGGAGAGUGACAAAUGGGGAGACAGCCGUGGUGCAUGAUCGCCGAAUAAAUACCAUGUGAGGAUACAGCAAGAAGGUGGCCAUCUACAAGCCAAGGAGACAGGCCUCAGAAGAAACCAACCCUUCUUACACCCUGGACUCAGACUUCUAAUCUCCAGAACUUGUUAAUGCACAAGGUCUUGUGUUGAAAAUGUAGAGCCACGAGAUAAAAGCAGCUUGGAUGGCUGACUCAUAUACAAGGACAACUGCCUGAGAGUCACCAGGGCUAUCAAGAAGUUUGCAGAAACAAGAAAUAAACUUUUACUGUUUUAAA
RNAcentral lists this long non-coding RNA (800 nucleotides) under Homo sapiens (human). RNAcentral's name for it is "PYDC2 antisense RNA 1". Lineage: Eukaryota; Metazoa; Chordata; Mammalia; Primates; Hominidae. The record is from RNAcentral.